UCGAAGGUUUCACAUACGUGUG
This 22-nucleotide non-coding RNA is filed under the name Arabidopsis thaliana (thale cress). The record is from RNAcentral. Lineage: Eukaryota; Viridiplantae; Streptophyta; Magnoliopsida; Brassicales; Brassicaceae.